UAUGAGAGUCCGUGCUAGUUGACGGAUAUCCUUCGAUCCAUGCUUUCUCAGAUGAUUCACAGCCUUUCCAAUUUCAGUUGACUGCACAAUUUAAUUUCUGAUUGUUAAGAGAACAAUCUUAAAAAAAGUACUAGAGAAACAACACAAAGUUCCCCCAAAGCUACUAAGAAAGAUCAAUUCUAACCUUCAGAAGAUCGACACAGAGUUGCAUCAGUUGAAGCCUCCUCAGAGACUCAAACAGCACCGAGUCAGACU
This 255-nucleotide long non-coding RNA is filed under the name Medicago truncatula (barrel medic). Its description in RNAcentral is "long non-coding RNA (MTRU_LNC005461)". The record is from RNAcentral. Lineage: Eukaryota; Viridiplantae; Streptophyta; Magnoliopsida; Fabales; Fabaceae.